Molecule: ribosomal RNA, 374 nt
Filed under: uncultured eukaryote
Lineage: Eukaryota
Description: partial 18S ribosomal RNA
Rfam family: Eukaryotic small subunit ribosomal RNA
Source: RNAcentral
UAAUAGUGUAUAUUAAAGUUGUUGCAGUUAAAAAGCUCGUAGUUGAAUGUUGGUGUCGAACGAGCGGUCAGCUUCGGCUGUACUGCUCUCUCGACUCCUUCCUUCUGUGGACUACGUCGCACUUUACUGUGUGGCGCUAGGACGCAGAUCGUUUACUGUGAAAAAAUUAGAGUGUUCAAAGCAGGCCGUACGCUUGAAUACAUUAGCAUGGAAUAAUGGAAUAGGACGUCGGGCCUAUUUUGUUGGUUCUAGGACCGUCGUAAUGAUUAAUAGGGACAGUUGGGGCCGUUUAUAUUCCGUAGUCAGAGGUGAAAUUCUUGGAUUUACGGAAGAUAAACUAAUGCGAAAGCAUUCGGCAAGGAUGUUUUCGUUAA